Molecule: long non-coding RNA, 563 nt
Filed under: Gallus gallus (chicken)
Lineage: Eukaryota; Metazoa; Chordata; Aves; Galliformes; Phasianidae
Source: RNAcentral
ACUCAUGCCUUGCACACAUACCCACUGCGCUCUCAUCCCCAUGCUCACACUCAGGUCCCAUGCACAUGUCCCUUGCACACUCACACCCAUCGCAGAACUCCAUAUCGUUUGCACACCCACACUCCACACCCGCCCACUCCCAUCCCUUGCACACUCACUUCUGCAGAAGCAUCCAUGCCCCUUGCAUGCUCAUCCCUUGCACACCUGCAGUUCCUUUGCACGCUCAUCCCUUGCACACCUCCAGGUCCUUUGCACACCCUCCUCCCACACUCACAUCACUCGCACACCUCCAUAUCUCCAUGCACAACCGCACCCCUUGCACAACUGUCUUGCUUGCACGCUCACACCUCUUGCACACUUCCUUCCCACACUUGCAUUCCUUGCACGCCUUGGUGUCCCUUGCACAUGCACACCUCCACACCCCUUGCACACUUCCAUGCCCCUUGCACACCCAUAUCCUUUGCACGCCUAACUCUCCUUUGCACAUCCCACAGCUUACACACCUCUGUGCCCCUUGCACGCUCACACCUGUUGCACACUUCCACGCCCCUUGCACACCCAUA